UGAGAUCUCAAAGGAGUGUCAUGAGAACACGGAUCCUCUUGUUUCUUUAAGAUUUCCACUGAAACCAAUUGAGUUUUGUGUUCUCAGGUCACCCCUUUGAAUCUCCC
Molecule: microRNA precursor, 107 nt
Filed under: Brassica napus (rape)
Lineage: Eukaryota; Viridiplantae; Streptophyta; Magnoliopsida; Brassicales; Brassicaceae
Description: pre miRNA MIR398
Rfam family: MIR398 microRNA precursor family
Source: Rfam by way of RNAcentral